Molecule: non-coding RNA, 184 nt
Filed under: Methylophaga sp.
Lineage: Bacteria; Pseudomonadati; Pseudomonadota; Gammaproteobacteria; Thiotrichales; Piscirickettsiaceae
Description: 6S RNA
Rfam family: 6S / SsrS RNA
About the family: E. coli 6S RNA was the first non coding RNA to be sequenced, but its function was unknown until recently. It consists of 184 nucleotides that fold into an extended hairpin structure with a large single-stranded internal bulge.
Source: RNAcentral
AAGUCCCUGCGGUGUUCGAGAGUGACAUUAGUUUCUUGACCCGAUAAGCAUUUAUGCACGGGGGUUGAUUGGUUGCAGGCGUGCAAGCUCAUUAUGAAUGAGAAGCCCAGAGUUGCCAAGAUGCUCCCACUUGAACCAAAAGAUGGUUCGAGGACACCGUUCGCAACGGCAUUGUGGGGCACUU